AUUGGGCGUAAGGGCUCGCAGGCGGUUUCUUAAGUCUGAUGUGAAAGCCCCCGGCUCAACCGGGGAGGGUCAUUGGAAACUGGGGAACUUGAGUGCAGAAGAGGAGAGUGGAAUUCCACGUGUAGCGGUGAAAUGCGUAGAGAUGUGGAGGAACACCAGUGGCGAAGGCGACUCUCUGGUCUGUAACUGACGCUGAGGAGCGAAAGCGUGGGGAGCGAACAGGAUUAGAUACCCUGGUAGUCCACGCCGUAAACGAUGAGUGCUAAGUGUUAGGGGGUUUCCGCCCCUUAGUGCUGCAGCUAACGCAUUAAGCACUCCGCCUGGGGAGUACGGUCGCAAGACUGAAACUCAAAGGAAUUGACGGGGGCCCGCACAAGCGGUGGAGCAUGUGGUUUAAUUCGAAGCAACGCGAAGAACCUUACCAGGUCUUGACAUCCUCUGACGAUCGGAGAGAUAGGACGUCCCCUUCGGGGGCAGAGUGACAGGUGGUGCAUGGUUGUCGUCAGCUCGUGUCGUGAGAUGUUGGGUUAAGUCCCGCAACGAGCGCAACCCUUGAUCUUAGUUGCCAGCAUUCAGUUGGGCACUCUAAGGUGACUGCCGGUGACAAACCGGAGGAAGGUGGGGAUGACGUCAAAUCAUCAUGCCCCUUAUGACCUGGGCUACACACGUGCUACAAUGGACAGAACAAAGGGCAGC
RNAcentral lists this ribosomal RNA (696 nucleotides) under Bacillus subtilis. RNAcentral describes it as "bacterial SSU rRNA". It matches the Rfam family "Bacterial small subunit ribosomal RNA", at positions 553 to 1250 of the family's 1533-position model. The record is from RNAcentral. Lineage: Bacteria; Bacillati; Bacillota; Bacilli; Caryophanales; Bacillaceae.